CCCUCUCCGAGAGCCUCGGGUUUCUGUAGGCACAGUGCAGCAGCCUCUGUCUUCAUUUUAUGUCAGAGCAUUAAUUCUGUGAUUUUGCCCCUGGUAUCAACAGAGCUUGCCUGGUAGGUGGGUGGGGUAUUGGGAUUUAUGUUGUAGACAAAUUCGGGAACACUUCAGUCUUUUUUCUUUUUUCUUGUUUUCUCCCCCCCCUUACAAAGCUUUUGAAAGUCCACUGGGGACCCCUAACGUUCAGCUGCUGCUGAAGCACACACUUCAAAGCCAGAGCUGCACACUUCUUUAGCCACCUAUGGGUUUGAUCAUUCUGGUGGGUUUUCAUUGCAGGCAGUAAUGCUCCCUUCCCCCUGUUAAAAGUCAUCUUUCUGGAAAGUUCUGAGAGCUCCUCAAAAUGUUUGGUAAAACAACAUUUCUGUUGUCAUAAAACAUGCCAGCCAUAUUAAACAGGGUAGGCCCUGGAGAUGCUUUGAGAGGCAGAAACCUUCGUGCCACCUGCAUAGCAGGUAGGACCCUUUCCUGCCCUGAGCUGUGGCAGCAGAAAAGUGCUUAGAAGUCACGGUUAUUGCAAAAGGCAUUGGGAGGAAUAACUCUGGGGAUUUCUAAGGAUGUCGGUGACAAAUUGGCAGAUGCUCAGCUCUCCAUAAACCCCUACUGCCUAGUCCCUAAACCCACACAUGUCCCCAUGGCUGCCUCACUUCUCUCCAUAGAAAAUCUCCUCUGCCCACAUUCUAAGGCCUGCACCAAGCUGGGCAGCCUCCAUGACCAAAACCUACAGUCCCCUCAUUGCCCUCAACCAGGGCAGAUGGGAAUUGCUGUUAUCAUAGCCUUUUGUCCUGGUUUCCUAGUGCCUCUUCUGAUGGGACCAAGCAGGACAGACAAAUACGUCCAUUGCAGCCUGGUUUAGGGGUUUUUUAUGUCGAAUUCAUGAGAUCAGCUUUUCUCUCUCUUAUGGCAGAAAUCUGUUGUGUUUCACAGACCAGCAUUAAUAUCAUUAUAACUUCCCCCCCAGUCAAAGGCAACAGAGUGGUCAGUUACUGGGAGUGGGUAGCCACACCAAAUCCACCUGAAAGUCUGAGCAGAAAAAUGUUAGAAAUGCAGCUGGAGUAAGUUCCCUGCUCUCUUUCAUGCCUCCAAUCCCAAGUAAAUCAGAAAAAAUCAUGCUUUCUGAGUGGCUUCUAACAUAAUGAAAGUCAAUUAGAGUGAUGCAAACGGAGCUGAUAACUGCAGGUUUUCAUCACUGACUCCAUGCUAAAUGUCUGUACUGUGUGGUUUGCAAGGAAGUAAGGGUGCAUGGAGAGGAAAGGAUGGGGUUUUUAAAAGCAGUUAAAUUGCCUCUAAUUAGGAACACAACUGUAGUCAAAACAUAAUGUGAGGAUAAUAAAUUGAUAUUUGCAUAAUGGAAAUACUACCAAACUGUACUUCAAAUAAGCUGAAUUAGAUUAUAAUUAGAGCUGUGUUUUGGGAAAGAAAAUCCUUCUAAUUGCCUGAGUACAGGCAGUGCCAAGGAGAAGAGGGCUGGCAGCUGCCAGGGAGGUCCUGUGCAGGACAAGCACUCCACAAACAGGGACUAUUCCCUGCAGGGGGGAUAGGGUGCCCACACCUACCAGCAGCCAGCACAGCCAGAGUGAGGCAGAUCUGUGGAGAAAAAAGGAAAAAGCAGGAGGAAUGUGAGGGUGCAGACUCAGCCAUCGACUGCAAAACUCAAAACUGAAAGAAAAUCCAGGGUGAAAUUGUAGGGGCAGCAAUUAGGGUGGAAAACACCCGUGUCUCAGGGGAGAUGGUGUGAAGGUAAAAGUACAAGUGUUAAACCUGCAAAUUGCAGGAAACCAGUGAACAUCUUUCUCUGGUGAAUUCUCAGCACUAUACUGAGUUGCAAUGGCCUCUUCUUCCUGCUGUUUGAUAACUGGCUUUACUAAACCAACAGUAAUUUUUUUUCUGCUGGAACAUAGUGAGGUUGCUCGUGAUUUAUUGUCAAGCUCUUACUACUCUUUAUUAAAAAACAGGCCACCUGGACAGCACUGGAUGACAGGUCACUUGCCUGUUGUACAAGACUAUGUAUAUCAGCAAGGAGGCUACAGCUGAGAUAAAGGAAAAAUGUUAUAUUCCAAAACAACUCUUUUUGAGAUAAUGAACACAGUAAUUACAGCUUGUCACUGAAGUGAAGGCAGCAUGAACCUUGAGGCUGACUUGUUGCCUGGUAGCUGCAGAAUCUCAUGGUCAGUGUUAAUGCCCAUUUUAGGGCUGGGCAGUGACACUAUCCAGGUAGGAAAAUUGAUCAGCAUACAAAAGCCUGCUCACUCAUUUUAACUGGGGGACAGAAAACAGUGAUUUCUUAAGUUCCAUGUGUAUUGGGUUUGCAAGGCCAGGUUUUGAUAGUGAGGGGGCUAUGGGGUUGGCUUCUUGAGAAACUGCUAGAAGCUUCCUCAAGAAGCCAGUUCCAGCUGGCUCCAGGACAGACCUGCUGCUGGUCAAGGCUGAGCCAAACAGAGAUGGUCAUAAUGCCUCUGUGAUGACAUAUUUAAGAAGGAAAAAAGUUAUUGUGCAGAUCUAAUUGCGGCUAGAGAAGAAAGGAGUGAGAAUAUGUGAUAGGAAAAACUACACAGAAGCAAGGUCAGUGGAGAAGGAGGGGGAGGAGAUGCUCCAGACACUGGAGUGGAGAUUCCGCUGCAGCCUCUGGUGCAGACCAUGGUGAAGCAGCUGUGCCUCUGCAGCCCAUGGAGGUCAACAGGGAUGCAGAGAUCCAUCUGCAGCCUGUGGAGGAGACCCAUGCUGGAGCAGGUGGAUGCCUGAAAGAGACAGUGAACUCAUGGAAAAUCCAUGCUGGAAUAGGGUCCUGGCAGGCACCUGCAGGCCCAUGGAGAGAGGAGCCUACACUAGAGUAGGUUUCCUGGUAGGAUUUGUCCUCAUGGGAGACUUGCACUGGAGCAGCCUGUGCCUGAAGGACUGCACCCUGCAAAAAGUGACUCAUGUUGGAGCAGUCUGUGAAGAACUGCAGCCUGUGGGAAGGACUCAUGUUGGAGAAGUUUGUGGAGAACUGUCUCCUAUGGGAUGGACCUCACACUGGAGCAGGAGAAGGACUCCUUUCCCUGAGGAGAAAGCAGCAUCAGAAACAACCUGUGAUGAACUGACCUCAGCACCCAUCCCUGUCUACCUGCACUGCUGGGGGUCCAGUUGCAGAGGGGAGUAAGAGAGCAGCUUUGGUAGGUACCUGGCACCCAACCAGGGUCAACCCACACUGCAAAAUACAAUGACCCUGCCCACCAGGCUCUCAACAUAUUUGCUCCUCAAAUACCCAGGUAGGGCUGCAUUACUGACAUUACAAGAAGAGGGCAUUAGAAAUGCCGGAGUAGCUUCAUGCGUGGAGUACUUACAGCACCAGUUUCCCCCCCACCUCCCCAGGAGGAGCUGGGAAUGCAGCUGUAAUGGGAAGGAAGAGGAUUAACUCAGGUUACCCUUCUUCAAGUGCCAUGGUCAUGU
Molecule: long non-coding RNA, 3483 nt
Organism: Pseudopipra pipra
Lineage: Eukaryota; Metazoa; Chordata; Aves; Passeriformes; Pipridae
Exons: 3
Source: RefSeq, a predicted model, not a curated record